RNAcentral lists this small RNA (477 nucleotides) under Histoplasma ohiense. RNAcentral's name for it is "hypothetical lncRNA". Lineage: Eukaryota; Fungi; Ascomycota; Eurotiomycetes; Onygenales; Ajellomycetaceae. The record is from RNAcentral.
GUAGCGGAGGCGUUUGCGCAUCUACCGACUCAUUUCUGAGCUCAUCAUCGUUAUGUAUUUCAAUUGUCGUCUGUGUUGGAGUUUAUCUGGAAUAGAACCAAGUCGGCAGAGUCGGUAAGAAAUCCUGAGGGAGCCUAGAGACUGACAUCUCUGCUUGAGCCUGACCGGCAUGCACGAGGGUUCAUCUUUAGAUCACUUUCCGCGGCCAUAUCUACCUGGUAGGUAUAUCGAGGCAGUCCCGUCGAAAGAAUCACGAAAAGUCUGCUGCAGAGGGGAGUGUGCCAUGGUAGUUGGUAUUAUUCUGACUUCUGCCAGACAAUUGAUUCUCAUCAUUUGAUAAAAUCUCCGCUAAAAUUCUGUCAAAAUCAUUCCAUGAAGUUUGAUAUAUAUAUAAGUCAAAGUGUUGAGUUCCAGACGGAGACGAAAUUGGAGAGGAGGGACAACAAACAGAGACGGACAAGGAGAACCAUGAUUAAC